This 440-nucleotide ribosomal RNA is filed under the name uncultured bacterium. Its description in RNAcentral is "partial 16S ribosomal RNA". It matches the Rfam family "Bacterial small subunit ribosomal RNA", at positions 338 to 795 of the family's 1533-position model. The record is from RNAcentral.
CCUACGGGCGGCAGCAGUGGGGGAUAUUGCACAAUGGGGGAAACCCUGAUGCAGCGACGCCGCGUGGGUGAAGAAGCGCCUCGGCGCGUAAAGCCCUGUCAGCAGGGAAGAAAAUGACGGUAACUGAAGAAGAAGCCCCGGCUAACUACGUGCCAGCAGCCGCGGUAAUACGUAGGGGGCAAGCGUUAUCCGGAUUUACUGGGUGUAAAGGGGGCGCAGACGGCGAUGCAAGCCAGGAGUGAAAGCCCGGGGCCCAACCCCGGGACUGCUCUUGGAACUGCGUGGCUAGAGUGCAGGAGGGGCAGGCGGAAUGCUUGGUGUAGCGGUGAAAUGCGUAGAUAUCAGGAGGAACACCGGUGGCGAAGGCGGCCUGCUGGACUGCAACUGACGUUGAGGCCCGAAAGCGUGGGGAGCAAACAGGAUUAGAUACCCGGGUAGUC